UGUGACAGCCAUACAACUAUGGUCACGCCCGAUCUCGUCUGAUCUCGGAAGCUAAGCAAGGUUGGGCCUGGUUAGUACUUGGAUGGGAGACCGCCUGGGAAUGCCAGGGAAUGUAAAUG
Ribosomal RNA from Gadus morhua (Atlantic cod), 119 nucleotides. The record is from Ensembl. NCBI's taxonomy places the organism in Eukaryota, Metazoa, Chordata, Actinopteri, Gadiformes, Gadidae.